CAGCCGCCGCGGUAAUACGAAGGGUGCAAGCGUUAAUCGGAAUUACUGGGCGUAAAGGGCGUGUAGGCGGCCUGGGGCGUCCCAUGUGAAAGGCCACGGCUCAACCGUGGAGGAGCGUGGGAUACGCUCAGGCUAGAGGGUGGGAGAGGGUGGUGGAAUUCCCGGAGUAGCGGUGAAAUGCGCAGAUACCGGGAGGAACGCCGAUGGCGAAGGCAGCCACCUGGUCCACUUCUGACGCUGAGGCGCGAAAGCGUGGGGAGCAAACCGGAUUAGAUACCCCCGUAGUCCCUGUCUCUUAUAC
Molecule: ribosomal RNA, 301 nt
Filed under: uncultured bacterium
Lineage: Bacteria
Description: partial 16S ribosomal RNA
Rfam family: Bacterial small subunit ribosomal RNA
Source: RNAcentral